CUACGGGAGGCAGCAGUGAGGGAUAUUGGGCAAUGGGCGCAAGCCUGACCCAGCGACGCCGCGUGGAGGAAGAAGGCCUUCGGGUCGUAAACUCCUUUGGUUGGGGACGAGGAAGGACGGUACCCAAACAACAAGUCACGGCUAACUACGUGCCAGCAGCCGCGGUAAAACGUAGGUGGCAAGCGUUAUCCGGAUUUACUGGGCGUAAAGGGUGUGCAGGCUGCGGACCAAGUGGUGUAUGAAAUCGCCCGGCUUAACCGGGCGGGGUUAUGCCAGACUGGUCGGCUAGAGACAGAGAGAGGGCAGUGGAAUUCCGGGUGUAGUGGUGAAAUGCGUAGAGAUCCGGAGGAACCCCAGAGGCGAAGGCGGCUGCCUGGCUCUGUUCUGACGCUCAGACACGACAGCAUGGGGAGCGAACGGGAUUAGAAACCCGGGUAGUCC
Molecule: ribosomal RNA, 441 nt
Filed under: uncultured bacterium
Lineage: Bacteria
Description: bacterial SSU rRNA
Rfam family: Bacterial small subunit ribosomal RNA
Source: RNAcentral